RNAcentral lists this transfer RNA (74 nucleotides) under bacterium. RNAcentral describes it as "tRNA-Val". It matches the Rfam family "tRNA". Rfam says of the family: Transfer RNA (tRNA) molecules are approximately 80 nucleotides in length. Their secondary structure includes four short double-helical elements and three loops (D, anti-codon, and T loops). The record is from RNAcentral.
GCGCGCGUAGCUCAGCUGGUUAGAGCGCUGCAUUCACAUUGCAGAGGUCCCCGGUUCAAGUCCAGGCGCGCGCA